ACAAAUUGAAUUUAAUUUUUUAAACUUAACCGAAUCAAUAUAUAAUAUAAAAAUUCCAUCAUUUGACAUUGAAAAGUUAGGCGUACCUAAAUCCUCAAAAAUUGGCAUGCCAUGCCCAUACCAUACCUAUUUUGUUGCUCACUGUUGUCUAUGUGAUGUGUUCUCAUAUAAAUUUUAUAUGGAUGAACAUGGUAUAUAAUUAUUGUGUUAUUGCUAACAAUGAGAGUUAGAGAAGAAAAUAUUAUUUUGUGUUUUAAUAUUAUGUAUUUUUUUU
Centruroides sculpturatus (bark scorpion) is the source of this 274-nucleotide long non-coding RNA. RefSeq lists it as uncharacterized. The transcript has 3 exons. Lineage: Eukaryota; Metazoa; Arthropoda; Arachnida; Scorpiones; Buthidae. The record is from RefSeq and is a predicted model, not a curated record.